RNAcentral lists this long non-coding RNA (498 nucleotides) under Hordeum vulgare. RNAcentral describes it as "long non-coding RNA (HVUL_LNC015505)". The record is from RNAcentral. Lineage: Eukaryota; Viridiplantae; Streptophyta; Magnoliopsida; Poales; Poaceae.
CGAGUGUGGUAAUGGAGUGGGAGUUUGACGGGUCGACACUGUGCAGGAUGAUGGAUUGGAGCCGGUGUAGGUCAAUGGCAUGGCCGCCGAUGUUGUACCUGUCGUGCGCUCCAAACUUGUACGUGUGUUGAUGAGUACACAACUUUGAUCGUAGGGUCUCGUCAUGACCUACGAUCUGAUGUGACUUGGCUCCCUGGCCGGCCAGCGGCCUUGCUAACCAGCCCUGGGAACGGCCGCCUCGCUCCUAGCCGGCCAGCUCGUCCUGGACGGCUAGAGGGAGGUGUCCGUCUCGCCUAUAGCCGGCUGGGGCUUCCUAGCCGGCCAAAGGGUUUUGGCCGUCUCGUCUCUAGCCGGCAAGGGAUUCCUAGGUGGCCAGAGAGAGAGAGAGUUGUGCUUUUCCUUCGAUGUAGAAGGCAAAGGAGCAGGCUUGAUGAGCCUACCCCGGGGUUAUGCCCCCGUCACCAUGGGACCUCGCCGCCGAUGACUCACUGCACCUCA